GGGGUUGUGGCUCAGCAGUAGAGCGCUCGCCUCACAUGCGCGAGAUCCUGGGUUCAAUCCUCAGCACCA
This 69-nucleotide transfer RNA is filed under the name Ictidomys tridecemlineatus (thirteen-lined ground squirrel). Its description in RNAcentral is "Spermophilus tridecemlineatus (thirteen-lined ground squirrel) tRNA". It matches the Rfam family "tRNA". From Rfam's summary of the family: Transfer RNA (tRNA) molecules are approximately 80 nucleotides in length. Their secondary structure includes four short double-helical elements and three loops (D, anti-codon, and T loops). Lineage: Eukaryota; Metazoa; Chordata; Mammalia; Rodentia; Sciuridae. The record is from Rfam by way of RNAcentral.